UUAUUGGAUGUCUUUGAACGUGAGUGUAGAAGGAUUGUCCAUAGCAUUGCUCUUGAUUUGUGGUUGAGUCUAAUUGUGAAAGUUACAGAGGUUUCGAGCCAUAUUAGGUAACAAGAGCUUAAGGGUGGUGGUAAACAAGAUUCUCGUGAGAAACGAGUUGAAUGGUCAUAUUGUAAUUAUUAUCGUGGUGGUGAAGUUAUAUUUGGUCAUUAGGGACAACAAAUAUUAGUAUC
This 233-nucleotide long non-coding RNA is filed under the name Trifolium pratense (red clover). Its description in RNAcentral is "long non-coding RNA (TPRA_LNC007441)". Lineage: Eukaryota; Viridiplantae; Streptophyta; Magnoliopsida; Fabales; Fabaceae. The record is from RNAcentral.